This is a non-coding RNA of Oryza glumipatula, 210 nucleotides long. NCBI's taxonomy places the organism in Eukaryota, Viridiplantae, Streptophyta, Magnoliopsida, Poales, Poaceae. The record is from Rfam.
AAUAAGUGCAGUUUUAGCAUUAUUCAUGUUCAACGUUUGGCCGUUCGUCUUAUUUGAAAAUUUUCUAUGAUCACUACUUUUAUUGUUAUUAGAUGAUAAAACAUGAAUAUUACUUUAUGUGUGACUAAUUUUUUUAAUAUUUUUUAUAAAAUUUUCAAAUAAGACGGAUGGUUAAAACGAUGAACACAAAUAUCUAUAGUUGCACUUAUU